Molecule: ribosomal RNA, 926 nt
Filed under: uncultured Bacteroidota bacterium
Lineage: Bacteria; Pseudomonadati; Bacteroidota
Description: bacterial SSU rRNA
Rfam family: Bacterial small subunit ribosomal RNA
Source: RNAcentral
UGGAUCCAGACUUUGAUCAUGGCUCAGGAUGAACGCUAGCUACAGGCUUAACACAUGCAAGUCGAGGGGAAACGAUAGAGAAAGCUUGCUUUUUCUAGGCGUCGACCGGCGCACGGGUGAGUAACGCGCAUCCAACCUGCCCACCACUUGGGAAUAACCUUGCGGAAGUAAGACUAAUACCCAAUGAUAUCUCUAGAAGACAUCUGAAGGAGAUUAAAGAUUUAUCGGUGAUGGAUGGGGAUGCGUCUGAUUAGCUUGUUGGCGGGGUAACGGCCCACCAAGGCGACGAUCAGUAGGGGUUCUGAGAGGAAGGUCCCCCACAUUGGAACUGAGACACGGUCCAAACUCCUACGGGAGGCAGCAGUGAGGAAUAUUGGUCAAUGGGCGAGAGCCUGAACCAGCCAAGUAGCGUGCAGGAUGACGGCCCUAUGGGUUGUAAACUGCUUUUAUAAGGGAAUAAAGUGAGCCUCGUGAGGCUUUUUGCAUGUACCUUAUGAAUAAGGACCGGCUAAUUCCGUGCCAGCAGCCGCGGUAAUACGGAAGGUCCGGGCGUUAUCCGGAUUUAUUGGGUUUAAAGGGAGCGUAGGCCGGAGAUUAAGCGUGUUGUGAAAUGUAGAUGCUCAACAUCUGCACUGCAGCGCGAACUGGUUUCCUUGAGUACGCACAAAGUGGGCGGAAUUCGUGGUGUAGCGGUGAAAUGCUUAGAUAUCACGAAGAACUCCGAUUGCGAAGGCAGCUCACUGGAGCGCAACUGACGCUGAAGCUCGAAAGUGCGGGUAUCGAACAGGAUUAGAUACCCUGGUAGUCCGCACGGUAAACGAUGGAUGCCCGCUGUUGGUCUGAAUAGGUCAGCGGCCAAGCGAAAGCAUUAAGCAUCCCACCUGGGGAGUACGCCGGCAACGGUGCAACUCAAAUGAAUUGACGGA